UGAAUAAGAAUAUUUCCAUUCAUCAUAUAUUCUACCUUUGCACCAACAAGAUCCACAUAUCAUAUUACAAACGCUCAUGUUCUUUUAGACAUUAAAUUUUUUAAUCUUGAUUUAAACCUAUGAAUCCUUCUCAAACACCUCACAUAUUCACGAACAUGAUACAAGUAUAACAUUCAUUAAGAAAAAGAGUAAACAUUAAAUUGUUUGAUAGAAUAAAGUGAUAAUAAUAUCAUGAUUAUAUAAAGUACAUAUAAGUUAUAAUAUCGUAACUCCAACCAAAAAAAUAAGUUAACCAAUGGUGGCAGUGUAAAUAGAAAAACAAUAUAUGAUAUGCCAAUCUUCAACUUAUUCAAAUUCUGCAUGCCUUAAACAUAUAACAUCUCUCAACUUUAUUUCAUCGGUAAUAUUUAAAUUAAAUUAAGAGAAAAUAACCUAUUU
This 438-nucleotide long non-coding RNA is filed under the name Lathyrus oleraceus (garden pea). RNAcentral describes it as "Pisum sativum (pea) long non-coding RNA (PSAT_LNC036484)". The record is from RNAcentral. Lineage: Eukaryota; Viridiplantae; Streptophyta; Magnoliopsida; Fabales; Fabaceae.